UCCCUGGUGGCUCAGAGGGUAAAGCGUCUGCCUGGGAUGCGGGAGACCCGGGCUUGAUCCCUGGUCGGGAAG
Molecule: transfer RNA, 72 nt
Filed under: Capra hircus (goat)
Lineage: Eukaryota; Metazoa; Chordata; Mammalia; Artiodactyla; Bovidae
Also listed under: 1 other name
Rfam family: tRNA
About the family: Transfer RNA (tRNA) molecules are approximately 80 nucleotides in length. Their secondary structure includes four short double-helical elements and three loops (D, anti-codon, and T loops).
Source: Rfam by way of RNAcentral